GACAGCAGCAGCCACGGUAAUACGUAGGGUGCAAGCGUUAAUCGGAAUUACUGGGCGUAAAGCGUGCGCAGGCGGUUAUUCAAGACAGAUGUGAAAUCCCCGGGCUCAACCUGGGAACUGCAUUUGUGACUGGAUGACUAGAGUACGGCAGAGGGGGAUGGAAUUCCGCGUGUAGCAGUGAAAUGCGUAGAUAUGCGGAGGAACACCGAUGGCGAAGGCAAUCCCCUGGGCCUGUACUGACGCUCAUGCACGAAAGCGUGGGGAGCAAACAGGAUUAGAUACCCGAGUAGUCCCUGUCUCUUAUAA
RNAcentral lists this ribosomal RNA (306 nucleotides) under uncultured bacterium. Its description in RNAcentral is "partial 16S ribosomal RNA". It matches the Rfam family "Bacterial small subunit ribosomal RNA", at positions 507 to 809 of the family's 1533-position model. The record is from RNAcentral.